Molecule: ribosomal RNA, 485 nt
Filed under: uncultured bacterium
Lineage: Bacteria
Description: partial 16S ribosomal RNA
Rfam family: Bacterial small subunit ribosomal RNA
Source: RNAcentral
AUUGAACGCUGGCGGCAGGCUUAACACAUGCAAGUCGAGCGGGGGAAGGUAGCUUGCUACCGGACCUAGCGGCGGACGGGUGAGUAAUGCUUAGGAAUCUGCCUAUUAGUGGGGGACAACAUCUCGAAAGGGAUGCUAAUACCGCAUACGUCCUACGGGAGAAAGCAGGGGAUCUUCGGACCUUGCGCUAAUAGAUGAGCCUAAGUCGGAUUAGCUAGUUGGUGGGGUAAAGGCCUACCAAGGCGACGAUCUGUAGCGGGUCUGAGAGGAUGAUCCGCCACACUGGGACUGAGACCAGGCCCAGACUCCUACGGGAGGCAGCAGUGGGGAAUAUUGGACAAUGGGGGGAACCCUGAUCCAGCCAUGCCGCGUGUGUGAAGAAGGCCUUAUGGUUGUAAAGCACUUUAAGCGAGGAGGAGGCUACUUUAGUUAAUACCUAGAGAUAGUGGACGUUACUCGCAGAAUAAGCACCGGCUAACUCUGUG